CCCAGACUCCUACGGGAGGCAGCAGUGAGGAAUAUUGGUCAAUGGGCGGAAGCCUGAAUCAGCCAAGUCGCGUGAAGGAUGACGGCCCUACGGGUUGUAAACUUCUUUUGUCAGGGAGCAAUUGGGUCCACGUGUGGGCUUAGCGAGAGUACCUGAAGAAAAAGCAUCGGCUAACUACGUGCCAGCAGCCGCGGUAAUACGUAGGUGGCGAGCGUUAUCCGGAAUGAUUGGGCGUAAAGGGUGCGCAGGCGGUCCUGCAAGUCUGGAGUGAAACGCAUGAGCUCAACUCAUGCAUGGCUUUGGAAACUGGAGGACUGGAGAGCAGGAGAGGGCGGUGGAACUCCAUGUGUAGCGGUAAAAUGCGUAGAUAUAUGGAAGAACACCAGUGGCGAAGGCGGCCGCCUGGCCUGUUGCUGACGCUGAGGCACGAAAGCGUGGGGAGCAAAUAGGAUUAGAUACCCCUGUA
This 466-nucleotide ribosomal RNA is filed under the name uncultured bacterium. RNAcentral's name for it is "partial 16S ribosomal RNA". It matches the Rfam family "Bacterial small subunit ribosomal RNA", at positions 330 to 792 of the family's 1533-position model. The record is from RNAcentral.